UACAGAGGGUGCGAGCGUUGUCCGGAAUCACUGGGCGUAAAGGGCGCGUAGGUGGCCGGUCAGUUCGUGGUGAAAGCGCGGGGCUCAACCCUGCGUCGGCCAUGAAUACUGCCGCGGCUGGAGCACUGUAGAGGCAGGCGGAAUUCCGGGUGUAGCGGUGGAAUGCGUAGAGAUCCGGAAGAACACCGGUGGCGAAGGCGGCCUGCUGGGCAGUUGCUGACACUGAGGCGCGACAGCGUGGGGAGCAAACAGG
RNAcentral lists this ribosomal RNA (253 nucleotides) under uncultured bacterium. RNAcentral's name for it is "partial 16S ribosomal RNA". It matches the Rfam family "Bacterial small subunit ribosomal RNA", at positions 524 to 776 of the family's 1533-position model. The record is from RNAcentral.